RNAcentral lists this ribosomal RNA (420 nucleotides) under uncultured bacterium. RNAcentral's name for it is "bacterial SSU rRNA". It matches the Rfam family "Bacterial small subunit ribosomal RNA", at positions 355 to 774 of the family's 1533-position model. The record is from RNAcentral.
UAAGGAAUAUUGCUCAAUGGGAGAAAUCCUGAAGCAGCAACGCCGCGUGGAGGAUGAAGGGUCUAUGACUUGUAAACUCCUGUAAAGAAGGAAAAAAUUCCCAUUAGAUGGGAGAUGAUGGUACUUCUGGAGUAAGCCCCGGCUAACUACGUGCCAGCAGCCGCGGUAAUACGUAGGGGGCAAGCGUUGUCCGGAUUUACUGGGUGUAAAGGGUGCUCAGGCGGAUUUGUAAGUCAGAGGUGAAAUCUUACAGCUUAACUGUGGAACUGCCUUUGAUACUGCAAGCCUAGAGUAUGGAAGAGAGUGAUGGAAUAUCUGGUGUAGCAGUGAAAUGCGUAGAUAUCAGACAGAACACCAAUGGCGAAGGCAGUCACUUGGUCCAUUACUGACGCUAAAGCACGAAAGCGUGGGUAGCAAACA